AUGAUGUCUCGACCAAUCUUCACACUUCGUCUCAUCCCGAUGUUUCCGCCAUUGGUUGGGAUCCUAAUCUUCUACCUCCUACUUGAAUUAUUGGACUAAAUAAUAUGUAGUACUUAACCUAGAUAUAUAUAUACACUCAUUUGAACCUUUGAUGUUGAACUUAUGUUUAUAUGUUAAAGUAGUAGAACAUCACCUAAGACCUAAACCUUGUUGUGAUUCUUAUGGGUGUUCAACUCAUGAAAACAUUAUCAUAACCCUUGUGGUUACCAAGUGUCAUACAAGUGUUAAGUGUUGAAGAUGAUUAUUUUCACAUGCUAUUCUCAUAUCUUACUUUUAUGUUGUUUUCAAUACCGAAUCUCGACUCUAAGCAUACUUGAACUUUAACCCUACACAUUCAAUCUUCUAACCUCAUCAACUCGUCAAUAAUUGGAUAAUUGGAAAGCAUAUGCAAACUUUGUGAGUAUACUCGUAUUUCCCCCUUUUUACUUUUACCACUUUUGGGGUGUAACAUGUUUAUCUAUCAACUUACACAUGAACAUUUUGCUUAACACAUGAACAUUCCU
This 563-nucleotide long non-coding RNA is filed under the name Helianthus annuus (common sunflower). RNAcentral describes it as "hypothetical non coding rna". The record is from RNAcentral. Lineage: Eukaryota; Viridiplantae; Streptophyta; Magnoliopsida; Asterales; Asteraceae.